GCACGCGAAGGGCGCAGCCACUCCGCCAGGACGCCGCCGCCCACCGCCCGCCGCCCACUGCUGGUUACUCCCCCUCCCAACCCUCGCUGCUUGCCCGCGCCCGGCGCUUCCGCCCGCGGCAGCGCCCCCUCGCCCAGCGCCCGGCCUGGCCCCCUCGCCCGCUCCGCUCACCUGGGUGCUUCACCCGGCGCCCGCUCCGGUCGACCGACCGGCGCCCGCUGUGCUGCUCUCCUACAGUCCUGCUCCCCCAGCGCCCGCUCCGGCCUCCCCUGGUUCGGCCUGCUCAGCAGCAAAUGAAUUAGGCUUGAAAUAAAAGAUGAAGAGAUAUUUUCAUCCUUGGCCGCAACGGAAGUGUCUACACCGGGGGUUUUAGCUGGAGGGAAUGAAGGGGUUGAGCAGACUGAAGCAACUCAAGAAAAUGAACCAAAUGGAGAAAUGGAACCACUCGUUUUGACUUCAAACAACCUGUCUUCAAUCUCAACUCAGGAAAGAACAUAUUUGUUAUUCCCAAUUCUUCUCCUGGUCAACUGAGGGAAGGUGAUAUUGAACCUGAUCCUGGUCUUAGGAAACCUAUUGAAAGCUUAGAUCCGGACAUUGGAGAUGUUGCUAGAAGAAUGUAUGUCAAUAUGGGUCCAUGCCAACCAAUUGGUCAUAAAUUUUAAAAAGAAACUAGAGGAAAUUCUUGUAAAAAGAGAAGCUUUCAAGCUACUUGGUUAAAGCAGCAUUCACAUUGGUUGGAAUAUAGUGUUGCUAAAGAGGCAGCAUUUUGUUUCUAUUGGUUUCUUUUUAAGCAACCUAGAGCAGAAAACUAUGAUGUUGAGGCAUUCACAACAAUAGGGUUCAAAAAUUGGAAGGAUGGACAUAGUAUUCUUCCUACACAUGUUGGUAAACAUGAUAGUGUUCACAAUAAAGCUAGACAACAAUAUGUGGCUUUCAAAAAUCAAAGGCAAUCUAUGGUAAAUGUGAUAGAUCGUGGCACCAGAAAGAGCGAAGAAGAAUAUAGAGCACGCCUUAUCAUUAUUUUGGGUGUUAUAAGAUUUCUUCUAUUACAAGCUCUUGCUUUUCGUGGUCAUGAUGAGAGCUCGAUCUGAAGGAAUAGGGGGAAUUUUUUGGAGAUGAUGAGUUGGUACAAGUAGAAGGAUCCAAAAGCUAAGACUUUGCUUGAUAGUGCGGGUGGGGACCAUUUGAUGACUUCACAUGGGUUAGAAUUGCAAUUGUGUCAAGCUUGUGCAGAAGAGACCACCAAAGCAAUUAUUGAUGAUAUUGGAGAUAUAAAUUUUUCUUUACUUGUUGAUGAGUCCAGAGAUGCAUCAAUAAAGGAGCAAAUGUUUAUGGUUUUAACGCUAGUAACUUUGUAUAGUUGUUAUUUUGUUCUUUACUAAUAGCUUGCUCUUUACUCGUGCUUAUUUCUAUUAUGUAGGUAUGUGGAUAAACAUGGGUGUAUGUUUGAGAGAUUUAUUGGGAUUAAGCAUGUUCGUGACACAUGAGCGGCUUCUCUAAAAGUAGCUUUGGAUGGUAUGUUUCUUGAACAUGGGUUGUCUAUGUCUAAAUUGAGAGGGCAAAGGUACGAUGGAGCUUCUAAGAUGAGAGGGAAAUUUCGUGGGCUGCAAAGGUCAAUGCAUUGUUCUAGCCGUGAGUUUGAUUGGGAUCACAUUGCGAAAACUUCAAAAUAUAAG
Long non-coding RNA from Hordeum vulgare subsp. vulgare (domesticated barley), 1676 nucleotides. RefSeq lists it as uncharacterized. The transcript is spliced from 3 exons. The record is from RefSeq and is a predicted model, not a curated record. Lineage: Eukaryota; Viridiplantae; Streptophyta; Magnoliopsida; Poales; Poaceae.